GAUGAACGCUGGCGGCGUGCCUAACACAUGCAAGUCGAACGGAAAGGCCCUGCUUUUGUGCGGUGCUCGAUUGCCGAACGCGUGAGUAUCACGUGUGUAUCCUGCCCUUGUCUUUCGGGUAACUUCACGAAACUGGGGCUAAUAUAGGAUAGCAUCUCUUGCUGCGUGGUGGGCGUUGGAAAGUUUCGGCUGUUGUGGAUGGACUGGCGGCUUAUCAGCUUGUUGGUGGGGUAGUGGCUUACCCAGCCUUUGACGGCUAGCCGACAUGAGAGGGGGAACGGCCACAUUGGGACUGAGAUACGGCCCAGACUCCUACGGGGGGCAGCAGUGGGGAAUAUUGCACAAUGGGACGAAGCCUGAUGCAGCAACGCCGCGUGCGGAAUGACGGCCUUCGGGUUGUAAACCGCUUUCGCCUGUGACGAAGCGUGAGUGACGGUAAUGGGUAAAGAAGCACCGGCUAACUACGUG
RNAcentral lists this ribosomal RNA (468 nucleotides) under uncultured bacterium. RNAcentral's name for it is "partial 16S ribosomal RNA". It matches the Rfam family "Bacterial small subunit ribosomal RNA", at positions 28 to 507 of the family's 1533-position model. The record is from RNAcentral.